RNAcentral lists this ribosomal RNA (131 nucleotides) under uncultured bacterium. RNAcentral describes it as "partial 16S ribosomal RNA". The record is from RNAcentral.
UAUCAGUAUUAAUCGGUUUAUUUCUUUCCGGCUGAAUAUUUUACAACCCUAACGCCUUCUUCACUCCCGCGGCAUGGCUGGAUCAGGGUUGCCCCCAUUGUCCAAAAUUCCCCACUGCUGCCUCCCGCAGG